Molecule: ribosomal RNA, 119 nt
Filed under: Vigna radiata var. radiata (mung bean)
Lineage: Eukaryota; Viridiplantae; Streptophyta; Magnoliopsida; Fabales; Fabaceae
Source: RNAcentral
ACGUGCGAUCAUACCAGUACUAAUGCACCGAAUCCCAUCAGAACUCCGUACUUAAGUGUGCUUGGGCGAGAGUAGUCCGAGGAUGGGUGGCUUCCUGGGAAGUCCUCGUGUUGCACCUC